RNAcentral lists this ribosomal RNA (253 nucleotides) under uncultured bacterium. RNAcentral describes it as "partial 16S ribosomal RNA". It matches the Rfam family "Bacterial small subunit ribosomal RNA", at positions 524 to 776 of the family's 1533-position model. The record is from RNAcentral.
GACGAAGGAUGCAAGCGUUAUCCGGAUUCAUUGGGUUUAAAGGGCGCGUAGGUGGCCUUAUAAGUCAGUGGUGAAAUCUCUGGGCUUAACCCAGAAAUUGCCAUUGAUACUGUAGGGCUUGAGUAUAGAUGCCGUUGGCGGAAUAUGACAUGUAGUGGUGAAAUACAUAGAGAUGUCAUAGAACACCGAUUGCGAAGGCAGCUAACGAAACUAUAACUGACACUGAGGCUCGAAAGUGUGGGGGUCAAACAGG